This 904-nucleotide ribosomal RNA is filed under the name uncultured Bacillota bacterium. RNAcentral's name for it is "bacterial SSU rRNA". It matches the Rfam family "Bacterial small subunit ribosomal RNA", at positions 1 to 917 of the family's 1533-position model. The record is from RNAcentral. Lineage: Bacteria; Bacillati; Bacillota.
UGGAUCCAGACUUUGAUCCUGGCUCAGGACGAACGCUGGCGGCGCGCCUAACACGUGCAAGUCGAACGGAGAAAGAUACAGCUUGCUGGAUUUUUCUUAGUGGCGGACGGGUGAGUAACACGUGAGCAACCUGCCCUUCAGAGCGGGAUAACGUUUGGAAACGAGCGCUAAUACUGCAUGACAUCCCGGGAUGGCAUCGUUCUGGGAUCAAAGAUUUAUCGCUGAAGGAUGGGCUCGCGUCCGAUUAGGUAGUUGGUGAGAUAACAGCCCACCAAGCCGACGAUCGGUAGCCGGACUGAGAGGUUGAUCGGCCACAUUGGGACUGAGACACAGCCCAGACUCCUACGGGAGGCAGCAGUGGGGGAUAUUGCACAAUGGGGGAAACCCUGAUGCAGCGACGCCGCGUGAGGGAAGACGGUUUUCGGAUUGUAAACCUCUGUCUUUGGGGACGAAUAGAUGACGGUACCCAAGGAGGAAGCCACGGCUAACUACGUGCCAGCAGCCGCGGUAAUACGUAGGUGGCAAGCGUUGUCCGGAAUUACUGGGUGUAAAGGGAGCGUAGGCGGGUCUACAAGUUGACUGUAUAAACGAUCGGCUCAACUGGUCGUGGCGAUCAAAACUGUAGAUCUCGAGUGGAGUAGAGGCAGGCGGAAUUCCUAGUGUAGCGGUGAAAUGCGUAGAUAUUAGGAGGAACACCAGUGGCGAAGGCGGUCUGCUGGGCUCUAACUGACGCUGAGGCUCGAAAGCGUGGGUAGCAAACAGGAUUAGAUACCCUGGUAGUCCACGCCGUAAACGAUGAUUACUAGGUGUGGGUGGACUGACCCCAUCCGUGCCGGAGUUAACACAAUAAGUAAUCCACCUGGGGAGUACGACCGCAAGGUUGCAACUCAAAGGAAUUGACGGA